GCGAGCCCCAUUGGUGUGAAAGAAGCUCCCGCGUCAGAGCUGGGAAGUGCCGGGCCGGCGGGGAGGGGAGCCCGGGCGCACGGGCCAGGCCGCGGGCUGUCCCAGGGAGCCCCGAGGGCGCGGUGCGCGGGCGCAGGUCGGGCGCAGGCGGGGUGACCCGGGGAAGGGGCGCGCACAGAGACAGAGGGAGCCAGCCGGGCCCCACGGUGUCCUCGGACGCCUCCGAAAUCUCCCUGCGUGUUUGUUUCUUCGGAGCUUCACCGGAGCCUGACUCUGGAACCGGCCUGUCUGCCUGCUGCAGUCUGGAAACGUUGUGUUCUGUUAGUCUUGGAGGCCAAGGCUGAGUGGGUUUAUCUCUGUGCCCCUCCAGUGACUUCAAAGAAUGCCAAAAGUCUCUCGAGUGUGCCUGUGUGCACACACAGACACACACAAAGUCAUUCAACAUUUAUUCAACCAAAAAUACUAAGUCAGCUCUAUACAAACUAAUGGAAGGAUACAGCUAUGCAAAUAUAGAACACUAAAGUGUUACAUGACAGAUGUAUGAGAUAUUAAAGUAAUUGUGAAAUAAAAGAAAAAAUUGUCUGAUAAAACCACAUCUCAUAGAAACCCAAUGAAUGCAACACAUCUAAAAUUUUAUCUGCAAAAAACGAGAGAAGACUUGCCCUUCUGUCAGUAAAGCACAGAUAAAG
This 689-nucleotide long non-coding RNA is filed under the name Homo sapiens (human). Its description in RNAcentral is "HSALNT0343891". The record is from RNAcentral. Lineage: Eukaryota; Metazoa; Chordata; Mammalia; Primates; Hominidae.